Molecule: ribosomal RNA, 253 nt
Filed under: uncultured bacterium
Lineage: Bacteria
Description: partial 16S ribosomal RNA
Rfam family: Bacterial small subunit ribosomal RNA
Source: RNAcentral
CACGUAGGGCGCGAGCGUUGUCCGGAUUUAUUGGGCGUAAAGAGCUCGUAGGCGGCUCGUUGCGUCGGCUGUGAAAACCCGCAGCUCAACUGUGGGCUUGCAGCUGAUACGGGCGGGCUGGAGUUCGGUAGGGGAGACUGGAAUUCCUGGUGUAGCGGUGAAAUGCGCAGAUAUCAGGAGGAACACCGGUGGCGAAGGCGGGUCUCUGGGCCGAUACUGACGCUGAGGAGCGAAAGCGUGGGGAGCGAACAGG